UGGAAUUAAAGAAAUAUUCAUUAAGAUCAAAGAAGUUUAUACAAUUUCAAGAAUAAAAAAAAUAAAUAUAUAAAACUCGUGUCCCUUUGUUAGGGUUGCAUCCAACCCUAGUGAAGAGAUUAGCCUUCCAUGAAGAGUUGAACAGCUGUACUACAGGGGACUUCAUGAUGAUCGGCUCCUUCCUCCCGUCAGCUCCCUCUCAACAAAUCAUCAUCUCUUCCUUUGGGAAAUCAUUACCAAAGUACCCAAACUCUUCUCUCCCUUUCCUCUUCUUCCCAUGGGAAGUUGGCCUGUGAGAGAUUUAGUGGAUGGGAACAACCCCGGUGGGGAAGAAGAAUGCCUCUUCUUCACGUUCUGACCCUUUUUAUAGGCUACCAACUCCCCCUCGCUCCUCCCCUGUUCUAAGAUAAGGAUGAAAGGAAACGGGAUAAUGCAAAUUCCUUGAUCCUUGGACGCGGUUGAGAUGCUGCUGGGAUGCGGAGGAAAAGCUUCACUGCAAGAUAAGGAUGGAAGAGAGAGCUGAGCCGGACGCGUGGAAGACGUGGAAGAAGGUAAUGAUCCGUGGAUGAGCUCUUGUUCUGCUGGGGAGAAUCCGGAGGAUAAUGAAAUGGGUCUCGGCUCUGUUCCGAAGCAAGAGAAAGCUGUGGACGUGAGAGGAUCUCGGAGGUUGAGUGCGAACGAGAGGUAUCCUGAGAACGGCUGGCCAAUGGAUCACGAACGGCAAGAUUUUGGAAGAGGAAAUCUUGGAUACAAGCUGAUCCGGGUAAGGAUGGAAGGAAGAAACAGAUGGAUUCGUGAGCUGGGGUGUUGGGAGAUUCGAAUGGAUGUGAUCUUGAAACAGGGGAUUCUGUUUUUGGACAUGAUCUGGAGGGAGUGAUGUUGCUUCAACGCAGUGGAGAUGAAGAUAUUGAGAGGAUCUUGGCUAGGAGGAGCUGGGACUUUGCUUUCUUGAGCUAUGAUAAGAUGAACCGGGAGCAUGGGAUGAAGCAUAAGCUGGGAAUCCGGAGAAGGUUUGGAUGGAAGAUGCAUUCGGUUGCUGUUGUUUGGAUGAGAUGAAGAUGAGUCGCUGAAUAACCGGUCGUGGGAGGAGAUGGGAUGCUGGGAAGAAAUCUGGGAGUUCGGAAGGCGAUGAAGACGGGAUGCUACGCGUAACAGGGGAGCUGGAAUCAAGCCGGAAGAGGAGGAUGCUGGGAGGAACUCACGGACGUUGGGAUGAACCCGUGGAUAAGGAUGAACUCGGUCGUAGAGCCGUGGGAGCUUGUAGGAAGAGGGAACGGUUGGAAGAUGUUGAUCCACGGGAGAUUGGCUCUGUUUUGAAUCUAAAACAGGGGAGGAAAGGAU
Molecule: long non-coding RNA, 1341 nt
Filed under: Phoenix dactylifera (date palm)
Lineage: Eukaryota; Viridiplantae; Streptophyta; Magnoliopsida; Arecales; Arecaceae
Description: long non-coding RNA (PDAC_LNC010942)
Source: RNAcentral